RNAcentral lists this ribosomal RNA (423 nucleotides) under uncultured bacterium. RNAcentral describes it as "bacterial SSU rRNA". It matches the Rfam family "Bacterial small subunit ribosomal RNA", at positions 355 to 775 of the family's 1533-position model. The record is from RNAcentral.
UAAGGAAUAUUGGUCAAUGGACGCAAGUCUGAACCAGCCAUGCCGCGUGAAGGAUGAAGGUCCUCUGGAUUGUAAACUUCUUUUAUAGGGGAAGAAACCCCCGCAUUCUUGCGGGGUUGACGGUACCCUAGGAAUAAGCACCGGCUAACUCCGUGCCAGCAGCCGCGGUAAUACGGAGGGUGCAAGCGUUAUCCGGAUUCACUGGGUUUAAAGGGUGCGUAGGUGGGCAUGUAAGUCAGUGGUGAAAUCUCCGGGCUUAACCCGGAAACUGCCAUUGAUACUAUAUGUCUUGAAUACCAUGGAGGUGAGCGGAAUAUGUCAUGUAGCGGUGAAAUGCUUAGAUAUGACAUAGAACACCAAUUGCGAAGGCAGCUCACUACGCGGUUAUUGACACUGAGGCACGAAAGCGUGGGGAUCAAACAG